Molecule: ribosomal RNA, 395 nt
Filed under: uncultured bacterium
Lineage: Bacteria
Description: partial 16S ribosomal RNA
Rfam family: Bacterial small subunit ribosomal RNA
Source: RNAcentral
AUACGGAGGAUGCGAGCGUUAUCCGGAUUUAUUGGGUUUAAAGGGUGCGUAGGCGGGUGUUUAAGCGUGAGGUGAAAUGCCGGGGCUCAACCUCGGAACUGCCUCGCGAACUGGGCGCCUUGAAUGCUCCUGCCGUGGGAGGAAUGUGUGGUGUAGCGGUGAAAUGCAUAGAGAUCACACAGAACACCGAUUGCGAAGGCAUCUCACGAAGGGGUGAUUGACGCUGAGGCACGAAAGCGUGGGGAUCAAACAGGAUUAGAUACCCUGGUAGUCCACGCAGUAAACGAUGAUAACUAACCGCUGGGUCUUUUAUGGUUCAGUGGCCAAGCGAAAGCGAUAAGUUAUCCACCUGGGGAGUACGACCGCAAGGUUGAAACUCAAAGGAAUUGACGGGG